CACCUCCAGCAGCCUCUUCAAGAUCUACCUGCGCCACACAUCCUGUCCGUCGACCUCGCCCUCACGCCGUUGUCGAGCUCGACACCGACGUCUUGCUCGCCGCCGUUGACCGCGCCGAUGAUGUGAGGUCCAUCUCCAGCGCGGCCACGGUGUCCCCGUGCGGAGGACAACGUUGCUGCUCAAGAUCUGACAGGGCAUCCAUGGAGGCUGAGGCAACGACAACGCUGGCCACUCGCACCCCUGCUCCACAACAUCGAAGAAGGGUGCCUUGAAGGUGUUUGUGAUAAUGUCAAGCCAAGGACGUGAGCGUGCUUUUUCCAACUUGGAGCAUUCCAACAAAGUGAAAUCUCUUCUCUCCCAAGUAUUCUCAUUUCCUAAUUAUAUAUUAGACUCUGGUUUGACGAGAACAUACAUGGCUGUAAUUACAAACUUGCUUCGUUAAUGGGUCCUCUUAACUGGGUGUACAGUCUGAUAAGUAGCUCUCCUCAUCUCGGUCCAGCUAACUUUUGGAUAAGUGCCUCACCAUCCAUCGCAAGUAACUGAAUAUCAGUGGUCAUGUAGUGUUUCCUCAUUUUAUUUAACUAAUUAAGAAAUAUCAUGGUGUUAUUGUUUAUUAUCUUAUAACAAUCAAAACAUUAUUCUAUUCUAUCAUCUAGGAUGUGAAUCUAACACCAUGUAGAAUUGAUCUGCGCACAUUUUGUACUUUCUGCUUAGUUAAUAGUGAUUGUGACUAAACGGAUUUUUCUCACAGCAAAGGCUAAGUUCUGCACUGCUUACCCCAUUCACUAAUUCAUUCUAUGCUAACCAAAAGAUUUAAUUCUUACCUCCUUCACUGUUUUUGCAGUAAUUAGAACUGGGUCUGUUUGCUCUAAUGUAUUUGGACUUGAAUUGGCUUAAUUUCUCUGUAAUACAUUGGCAGCUCUCUGAAAUUAUAUCAGUGGUUUCUAACUGUUUCAAAUUGUGGUUUCUAGCUUCUAUCAUCGCAAUGCAGACUAAAAGCAGUUGAUGUGCAGUGUGAAGUUUCUUCUUGUUUAAUUGUAAAUAUGUUUAAUUGUGGACUCAUCACAUGGUUUACAUGCUUGACUGUAACACAGGCGAGCGAAAGAGAGUUGCAACUCAGAUUUCGAAGUCAAAUUGUUUCGAUUGUUCAUUCCUGGCAGUGCUAAUAGUUCGGUACAUGGGAAUGGUGAAGUCUGAUGUGAAGUAUAGGUCAUACUUUUGUCUAUUAGGCUAGUGCAAACAAUUUGUUGUGUACCUUCUGUUAUUUUAGCUUGUACAUCUGUAAAAUUGUGCACAAUGUUUGGUGUAAUGGGCUGUGACAAGUGAUUUGGCCCAAAAACAAGCUUUGUAUGUAUUAUGAAAUUGGAUUGGAAUUCUAUUGGCUAUUGAAUGGGCUUGAA
Molecule: long non-coding RNA, 1400 nt
Organism: Setaria italica (foxtail millet)
Lineage: Eukaryota; Viridiplantae; Streptophyta; Magnoliopsida; Poales; Poaceae
Exons: 3
Source: RefSeq, a predicted model, not a curated record